GACAGAGGGGGCAAGCGUUGCUCGGAAUCACUGGGCGUAAAGGGCGCGUAGGCGGGAUGGCAAGUCGGUCGUGAAAUCCUUCGGCUCAACCGAAGAACGUCGGCCGAUACUGCCGUUCUUGAGGGAUGCAGAGGAGAUUGGAAUUCCCGGUGUAGCGGUGAAAUGUGUAGAGAUCGGGAGGAACACCGGUGGCGAAGGCGGGUCUCUGGGCAUCUCCUGACGCUGAGACGCGAAAGCGUGGGGAGCGAACCGG
Molecule: ribosomal RNA, 253 nt
Filed under: uncultured bacterium
Lineage: Bacteria
Description: partial 16S ribosomal RNA
Rfam family: Bacterial small subunit ribosomal RNA
Source: RNAcentral